RNAcentral lists this ribosomal RNA (320 nucleotides) under uncultured bacterium. Its description in RNAcentral is "bacterial SSU rRNA". It matches the Rfam family "Bacterial small subunit ribosomal RNA", at positions 30 to 353 of the family's 1533-position model. The record is from RNAcentral.
AUUGAACGCUGGCGGCAUGCUUUACACAUGCAAGUCGAACGGUAACAGGUUAAGCUGACGAGUGGCGAACGGGUGAGUAAUGCAUCGGAACGUGCCCAGUCGUGGGGGAUAACGCAGCGAAAGCUGUGCUAAUACCGCAUACGAUCUAUGGAUGAAAGCGGGGGACCGUAAGGCCUCGCGCGAUUUGGAGCGGCCGAUGUCAGAUUAGCUAGUUGGUGGGGUAAAAGGGCCCCACCAAAGGCGACGAUCUGUAGCUGGUCUGAGAGGACGACCAGCACACUGGGAACUGAGACACGGUCCAGAUCCUACGGGAGGCAGCA